AUACGGAGGGGGCUAGCGUUGUUCGGAAUCACUGGGCGUAAGGCGCGCGUAGGUGGAUCAAUUAGUUGAGGGUGAAAUCCCGGGGCUCAACCUCGGAACUGCCUUCAAUACUGUUGAUCUUGAGACCGAGAGAGGUGAGUGGAAUUCCUAGUAUAGAGGUGAAAUUCGUAGAUAUUAGGAAGAACACCAGUGGCGAAGGCGGCUCACUGGCUCGGUACUGACGCUGAGGUGCGAAAGCGUGGGGAGCAAACAGGAUUAGAUACCCUAGUAGUCC
Molecule: ribosomal RNA, 274 nt
Filed under: uncultured bacterium
Lineage: Bacteria
Description: partial 16S ribosomal RNA
Rfam family: Bacterial small subunit ribosomal RNA
Source: RNAcentral